GACAGAGGAGCCAAGCGUUGUCCGGAUUGACUGGGCGUAAAGCGCACGCAGGCGGCCCGGCGCGUGGGGUGUGAAAGCUGGCGGCUUAACUGCCAGACGCCAUCCCAUACGGCUGGGCUCGAGCCCUGCAGAGGUCCAUGGAAUUGCCGGUGUAGUGGUGAAAUGCGUAGAGAUCGGCAGGAACACCCAGGGGGAAACCAGUCGACUGGGCAGCACCUGACGCUGAGGUGCGAGAGCGUGGGGAGCGAACCGG
Molecule: ribosomal RNA, 253 nt
Filed under: uncultured bacterium
Lineage: Bacteria
Description: partial 16S ribosomal RNA
Rfam family: Bacterial small subunit ribosomal RNA
Source: RNAcentral